AUACCUAGGUCCAGCAUAGGAAGAUCUAUGAUACCUGCAUCCUUUGAAAUGGCUCAUCCCAAAGAGAGGAAAGAGGAGGGUUUCCUGCUUAUCUGUCCAUAAAUGCUGGAUGGCACCUCACUCCAGAGCUGGGCACAACAGAAAAGCAAUUCCUGUUUGGUGCAGAGUCCAGGGAUCCAUGGAUGCCAUGAAAUGGAAGAGGAAACAUGUUUCACUGAACUAUAAGCCUGAAAAAUAUAACUUUCCAGAUGAAGUGUCCUUUCUGGGUGCUCAGAGAUUUGAAGAAUUUGAAUCCCAAUUAAUGGAAGUACUACAAUCUAGAGAGUAAAAAUCAUUGCAGAAGUGCAAUGGUGUUGAAAUUAUUGAUCAUCUCUUUC
This is a long non-coding RNA of Passer domesticus (house sparrow), 377 nucleotides long. RefSeq lists it as uncharacterized. The record is from RefSeq and is a predicted model, not a curated record. Lineage: Eukaryota; Metazoa; Chordata; Aves; Passeriformes; Passeridae. The transcript has 3 exons.